GGCUAACGCUGGCGGCGUGUCUUAGCCAUGCAAGUCGAGCGGACUUAUGGGGGUAACUUAUAAGUCAGCGGCGGACGGCGGAGUAACACGUAGCUAACCUACCCUCUGGACGGGGAUAACCUACCGAAAGGUGGGCUAAUACCCGAUGUAGUCAUCCUGUAUAGGGGUGAUGAAAGGUGGGCUUCUGUUUACAAGCUCAUGCUGGAGGAGGGGGCUGCGGCCUAUCAGGUAGUUGGUAGGGUAAUAGCCUACCAAGCCGAUGACGGGUAGCCGGCCUGAGAGGGUGACCGGCCCGAGGGGCACUGAGAUACGGGUCCCACUCCUACGGGAGGCAGCAGGCUAGAAAUUUGGGCAAUGGGGGAAACCCUGACCCAGUGACGCCGCGUGCAGGAAGGAGCCCUUCGGGGUGUAAACUGCUGUCGUGUAGGGAGAAGGGUACUAAGGUGAACAAUCUUAGUACUUGACGGUACUACAGGAGGAAGCCCAGGCUAACCUCGUG
This 499-nucleotide ribosomal RNA is filed under the name uncultured bacterium. Its description in RNAcentral is "bacterial SSU rRNA". It matches the Rfam family "Bacterial small subunit ribosomal RNA", at positions 28 to 507 of the family's 1533-position model. The record is from RNAcentral.